CCCCGGGCGGGGCGGGGGCACGGGGGGCCUACGGGAGGCAGCAGUAGGGAAUCUUCCACAAUGGACGAAAGUCUGAUGGAGCAACGCCGCGUGAGUGAAGAAGGUUUUCGGAUCGUAAAACUCUGUUGUUGGAGAAGAACGUAUUUGAUAGUAACUGAUCAGGUAGUGACGGUAUCCAACCAGAAAGCCACGCAA
Molecule: ribosomal RNA, 195 nt
Filed under: Latilactobacillus curvatus
Lineage: Bacteria; Bacillati; Bacillota; Bacilli; Lactobacillales; Lactobacillaceae
Description: Lactobacillus curvatus partial 16S ribosomal RNA
Rfam family: Bacterial small subunit ribosomal RNA
Source: RNAcentral